CAGCAUGCGCGUGCACUGAGACACCGAGCGCCUCUGAAAAAGAAACGGGGCCAAGAGAGAGAGAGAGAGAGAGAGAAAAGAAAGAGAAAAGCGGGCGCCCGGGAGCGCGAGGAGUAUUCACGUGUUGUCUCUGCUAGCGCGAGCUCUCCGUGUCCGUGUCCACGUUCGCGCAGUUCCGGUACUGGACACCGGGAGUUUCACACACUGAGCGGUCCAGAGGCGGUCAUGUCGGUACACAGCGCCGGUACCGGAGACAGAAAGUAUUAGCGGUGGAGGCAGGUAUCAGGUGUUGAUGUGCAUGUGAUGGAGGACACAUGUUCACAUAAACUCAGCUCAACAAAGCUCCUGAAGCUCCUCAUCAUCAUCCUGCCCUGUGUGUGUGGCCUCAUCUGCCUCCUCACACUGCUGCUUGCCUUUACAGGAAUAAUCGGGAAUGGGCUGCUUGACUCCAGUGACUCCGCCCCUCUCUCCGCCACGGACAUUUCCAUGACGACCCUCAUCCCCCUU
This is a long non-coding RNA of Ictalurus furcatus (blue catfish), 507 nucleotides long. RefSeq lists it as uncharacterized. The record is from RefSeq and is a predicted model, not a curated record. The transcript has 3 exons. Lineage: Eukaryota; Metazoa; Chordata; Actinopteri; Siluriformes; Ictaluridae.